AUUUAUUUACAAACAAGAAAAAAAUAUAUAAUAACAAAACUGAAAUAUGGUACCCAAUUUAAAUUCAUUAUAAAUCGGUCACUACUCCGUCAUUUAUAUAUUUUCAAACAAUUAAUAUUAAUCAAUCAAACAGUGAAUAUAUUUAGUACUUAAAUUGUAUGAAUAAAUGUCUCAAAUCAAAUCAAUCAAGCAAUCAAUCAAAAUCAGUAUAAAAAAAUAUUUUUUCAAAACAAGUAUCACAAUCAUAAGCUGAAAGCGUCUAGUCUACCCUUUAGUGUCCCAUAUAUUAGUAGACCCAGAUCAAGAUACAGAAGGCGGCUUGUGGAUGUUUUACGUGAUGUUUCCUAAACAAUCAACAUAAAUAUUUUUUUAUUUGUUUAUUUAAAUAAAUAAAACAAAUCUUGGCAUCUCAUUUUAAACUACAACUUUUGUUAUAUGCUGAUUUUUCUUUUCCUAUAUUAAAAAACAUUAUUUUUUUUUGUUAAUAUUAAUAUUAACUUUGUUUUGUUGUUUUGAUUUGUAUGAAACUAGCUUUGUUUAAUAUUUAAUAAAAAAUAUUGAGUUCUUUUUCUUAA
This is a long non-coding RNA of Lucilia cuprina (Australian sheep blowfly), 575 nucleotides long. RefSeq lists it as uncharacterized. NCBI's taxonomy places the organism in Eukaryota, Metazoa, Arthropoda, Insecta, Diptera, Calliphoridae. The transcript has 2 exons. The record is from RefSeq and is a predicted model, not a curated record.